UUGACGAAACAGGGGUGCUUCGGCGCGCGUCUCCCGGCUUGAACGAACGGAGAACCGCGCGGCGAGGCUGAGAGAGUCCCUUCGCACCCGAUCCGGGUAAUACCGGCGAGGGAAGUUUCCGGAAACGCGAU
RNAcentral lists this non-coding RNA (131 nucleotides) under Burkholderia sp. RNAcentral's name for it is "TPP sequence". It matches the Rfam family "TPP riboswitch aptamer (THI element)". Rfam says of the family: Vitamin B(1) in its active form thiamin pyrophosphate (TPP) is an essential coenzyme that is synthesised by coupling of pyrimidine and thiazole moieties in bacteria. The previously detected thiamin-regulatory element, thi box was extended, resulting in a new, highly conserved RNA secondary structure, the THI element, which is widely distributed in eubacteria and also occurs in some archaea. The record is from RNAcentral. RNAcentral also lists the same sequence under 1 other name. Lineage: Bacteria; Pseudomonadati; Pseudomonadota; Betaproteobacteria; Burkholderiales; Burkholderiaceae.